GUAACUUCAAAGAUGUUACUACUUCCUUCUUAGUAGUAGACGGACUGCUACUACCAAGACUGGACAGACUCCCAAGCUGCUGUUGUGCUGAAGAACCACUGCUGAUUUGUCUCCUGGUGACUGCACAUAGAGUACAUAAGCCAGAUGAAAGACCCACAAAGUGAGGACUCCCUCAUGUUCUGACUCAGGAAAGGCGACACCNCAAAUCAUUCACAAGAAACGGCCUUGAUGCACUCUUGAUGCACAAGAAACUGCACCUUGAUGCAGGCAUCACUGAAAUUCUCGGGAGUUCCUAUAGCCAACACUGCUUCCUACAGCUGAACUUCAGGAGACUGAGGACCCUGCCAGACCCUGCCAGCUAACCCCAAGCUGUGUUCCUACCAUGGAGGGCCUAGAGACACACUGAGAGGGUGACAAUUGAUCAUCAAGCUAUGCUCAUGAUAGCCAACAAGGUUACCAAGGAAAAUCUACAACAGCCUGUCUGGAAAAAAAAAUCAGUAUAAAAAAAUCAAAUGCAGAAAGUAUUCU
Molecule: long non-coding RNA, 528 nt
Filed under: Mus caroli (Ryukyu mouse)
Lineage: Eukaryota; Metazoa; Chordata; Mammalia; Rodentia; Muridae
Description: lncRNA (MGP_CAROLIEiJ_G0006809.1)
Source: RNAcentral